CGGUUAUACCAAGUGAUUAAGUUAUAUUUCUAGGUAAAAAGACAGUUAGGUUUUAAAAUUAAAACAAUUUUAGUUCAUUAAACAUCUAUAAAAAAGUAAAAUUUGUAUAUAGACAGCUAAUCUAAAAAUAACUACAUAUACUGAAGCUGUGAUAAUCUUGAGGGAAACUGGGAUUAGAUACCCCAUUAUUCUUGACUGUAAAUAUAAUUAAAUUUACCAGAGUACUAUGAAUAGUUAAAAAUUUAAAACUCAAAGGGCUUGGCGGUGUUUUAGACCUAUCAGGGGAACCUGUCUCGUAAUCGACAAUCCACGCAAUAUCUAACCUUAUUUUGUAAUCAGUUUGUAUACCGUCGUCGUCAGGUAACUUUUAAAAAUAUAGAAGUUAGCAAUCAAAACUUAUUAGUUAAAACGUCAGAUCAAGGUGCAGCCUAUAAUAGGGAGAGGAUGGGUUACAGUUAUAAAAAUUAUAAUUACGGAAAUUUAAAUGAAACUUAUUUUGAAGGAGGACUUGAAAGUAAACUAAAAUACAUAAAUAGUUUGAAUAAGGCUCUG
RNAcentral lists this ribosomal RNA (552 nucleotides) under Nassarius arcularia. Its description in RNAcentral is "partial 12S ribosomal RNA". Lineage: Eukaryota; Metazoa; Mollusca; Gastropoda; Neogastropoda; Nassariidae. The record is from RNAcentral.